AUUUUCUUCUUUCUUUCUUUCUUCUCUUUUUCCUGAGGCGAUGAAGGGCGGUGAAGAGGCUGGAGAUGUUUCAUACAUUGGAAGACAUUAGACCGCUACCAUGCUGGGGCUCUGCCUUGAAUAGUCCUUUGGAGAGGAGGGGACAAACUCAUGGACGAACUCAUGGUGUUUGUCCAGUAGCCAAUCCAGGUCAAGUAAUGAAUAUCCACUUCACAGGUUGCAUAGCUCAGAAACUGAGGAGUCUCUCCAGGUCGAACCAUUAUUUCUCCACAUUGAGAGAUUUCAGCUUUGAUACUACAAAACAUGUGAUUAAAAUAUUGCAGGAAAGAAUCACACAUGACAGAUUCUUCAAGCCGACCCAACCAACAGAAAACCUGAGAGAAGAUCAAAAACGAGAUGGUUGGAUAAUAUUCAUAAUGCCAGAUGGUCACUCUUAGGAAUCCAGCCAGAAAGUCUAAUGACAGUUGUUUGUGAUAGGACCCUAUAGAAGAGGUGACUCACCACUCUACUUCCAUGACCUUCUCAGGAAUAAUGGGCAGAGAAAAUGGCUGGAUAAGAGGAGUGGAUCGAUGGAGGAGUGGAUCGAUGGAGAAGUGGAUCGAUGGACGGAUGGAAAGUAAAGAACUUGGCUGGUUAAUUUUCCAAUUAAAUUUUUUAUUAUCAAAUUACAUGUUACACGGUAUAAUAUUUUAGCUACAAAAGAACAAGAAAAUUACUUAAGUUACUUCUUGUGAACGAGAAAAUUACUUAAAAGAAAAAAGCAAUCAAAAUAAAAGAUACAAAACAUAAUUUAAGAGAUACAAAAAGAAACUAUGUAAAAAUAAAAAACAUUUGAAACAAAUAAGGAAAAAAAAA
Long non-coding RNA from Octopus bimaculoides (California two-spot octopus), 855 nucleotides. RefSeq lists it as uncharacterized. The record is from RefSeq and is a predicted model, not a curated record. NCBI's taxonomy places the organism in Eukaryota, Metazoa, Mollusca, Cephalopoda, Octopoda, Octopodidae.